Long non-coding RNA from Amblyraja radiata (thorny skate), 245 nucleotides. RefSeq lists it as uncharacterized. Lineage: Eukaryota; Metazoa; Chordata; Chondrichthyes; Rajiformes; Rajidae. The record is from RefSeq and is a predicted model, not a curated record. The transcript is spliced from 2 exons.
ACACACAGAUCUAACGCCUACAUUCUCUGAGCUCCUGACACUGUGGAGUGACUACCAAUUGUUCCAGCUGACAACAUUCUAUCGGGAGAGACUGAAACAGGCGAUUGAAGAAAGGGUUGAAAGCCUCGACUUCAUGAUGAGACAGCAGGGAUGUUUCAGUGAACAAGAACACGGGAGUGUCGCUGAGCUGGUGGUAAAUGGAAACCGCAGAGACAGUUCCACACUCUUCCUCAGUCUGGUGAUGG